Solanum lycopersicum (tomato) is the source of this 368-nucleotide non-coding RNA. NCBI's taxonomy places the organism in Eukaryota, Viridiplantae, Streptophyta, Magnoliopsida, Solanales, Solanaceae. The record is from RefSeq and is a predicted model, not a curated record.
ACUAAUUUCGAUACAUAUGACUACGAAGAUAGAAGAAGUAUAAGAAGACUGAGGACAUGGUCUGUUACAAUGUAGGAAGAAUGUGGUCUAUAUUACUGAAAUGGAAAUCAAAGCUUUGAACAAGGCUGGUGACUGGCAAGAAUGCAGGGACCCGGUCCUUUGCAGAGUGUUCUCAUCCAGCGCAAGAUGUUGUAUAACUGAAAUGCUAUCUUGUCAGUGGUUGGUGAAGUUAUCAGCAUACUUAACUAAUAGGAAUGGACGAGAUUAUUUGUCUAAUGGUCAAUAAUUCUUCUUGGAAUAAUAUGUUCACUAUGACAAACAAUUAACAAGACUAUUCAUUCAAAAAAAAAAUCAAGCUUCAAACGAAA